CUUACCCUUUUCCUACCUGUAGUAGCAACCAGAUGAAAUAGAAGCUUUACUAUUUUCUUUCUUUUCCGUUUUACUUUUGCAGAUCCCAUUCCAAUUGGUGGUCAUCCUUGCGGCAAUGUGCAAGAGAAUUUUUUAUGAGGACAGUGUAUAAGAGAAUUCGUUCUGUUAGAUGUGAUGCUUUGCUGAGUUAGGGUUUUCGACAAAGUGAACAAAAUUUGAUUCCUCGAAAGCUACCAAGUAGUUAGAUGGCUCAGCUUCGAGCUUUAAAGUAUUUGCUCAUCUCGUCAGUCUAUUGUUGCCUACUGAAACUGUAUGAGGUGCAGUGCGUGCUAUGGUCAUGGGGGCGGAUAAUUGUGCAUGUUGUCAGAAAAUUUUACACACGGCAUAUAGUUUCUGCAUCAUUCAAAUGAAAUGUUAGUCUGGGAGAGCUUCCUGUGCACUGGAGCCUCAGUGCGCUCGAUGAAUCAUGGGGCAAGACCAAGCUGAAUAGGCACACCAGCAAUUUUCACCUCACUCGACCUGUAAUAACUGAGCAAUUAUGGUGGAAAGGACUUCUGAUUGGCAUUUGUGUGGUCUGUCACUCUGCCCUGUAAUAACAAUGAGACUCAAGUUUGUACUCUAGGUGAUAGUACCUUCAGUGGAACGAACUACGGGGAGAAAUACUUGCUGCAACCAUGAUGUGCAACAGUACAAGCUAAAUGCCAGCACUUUAACCAGAUAAGAAGGAAGCUAGCAUCUGUGAAUCACAUGGCAAGUCAUGAUCUGAGUGUGGCCAAUUUUUGCCACCUCGAGAGGUCUGGGAUGUCGAAGAGAAGAGAGAUCAAAAGCUGAUUUGUCAUUUGAGAACACAUUGGUUUGGUCCAGCUCAGAUGUACUUUCAUCUGUUUUUGGUUAUAUCCCAGCCAAUGCCAGCUCUUCAGUUUCCUCGUUGUCUAGUGGCAUCAAACUGCCGUCAAUUUAGAGAUCUCGAGGCCACGUUUAUCUGCGUAUGAAAGUCUAUUCCGAUGAUGGCUCAAGAAACCCACAUUAUGGCGUUCAUGUGUACACAGAGGCAACCAAACUGGCCGGCUCUCUUUCAUUGUGGCCGUUGAAGUAUUGUUGUCAACAGUUGGUCCUAACUUCACUGGUUGGGUAGGUGCUGCUCAAAAGGUUAAUGGAGUACACCCAUAUAACUUUGUACAGAUGCACACCGCACAAUUGGUUACGGAGUGUCAACAGUUGGCAAAGAAGAUUAACAUGCCAAAGCCAAUGACAGCUCCCAUCCUGGACGCUAACAAUCUUGGAUUUUUGUGGAAACAGAAGAUGGUCCUGCUCCCAGCCAUAAUCAGGAUAAAGCCAGUUCAUGCUUUUCUCUGAAGAAAGAAGCUUCCUCUUUUUUCCCCUCAAACAUGGCCAGGCUAAUCCGUGGUUAAUAACUAGUACUACAUGCAGUCAUUAGGAGUGGUUGGUUGAUCGGUGGUUUGGUUUGGCAUUUGUCGAAGACAGGGAGGGAAUCCAAAUCCAGGCUAUGAUCUGCUGGGAUCGAUGCUGUUUCUUCAGGGGCAAGUGAAGUCCGUAAUGAUUUUACCAGCUUCAGAGUCACGCCUAUGCAUGUGAUCCGAUUGGAUGUACGCAAGAUUUGGGGCUAACUGGGCUGAUGAUCUUGUGGUCCAGAUGCACAAGCCAACUAGAUUUAUGGGUUUCCUUGCAAGGAAGGAUGGAUCUGUUUAAUUAGUUGCUUCCAAUCUUGAAUAAGACAGGUAAAACAAAUGAAAAAGAGAUGUUUAGAUCGUCUCCAGAACCGCGGGACCAUAAGAUAUGAUUUCCGCUGGACCAUCAUCUCGUCAUGACACUUAAAUAGUUAACUAUGAAUUGUGAUAGUCUAGAAUCACACGACUUCUCAAUAUUUCAGUAAUGUUAUAUGCCAGAGACAGUAGUUCCGUUGAAAUAGCACAACAAGUUUCCCGUACUUUAAUUCCUUUUGAAAAAUAUAUAUCUGGUGUUCAUGGUUC
Long non-coding RNA from Lolium perenne, 1991 nucleotides. RefSeq lists it as uncharacterized. Lineage: Eukaryota; Viridiplantae; Streptophyta; Magnoliopsida; Poales; Poaceae. The record is from RefSeq and is a predicted model, not a curated record.